Molecule: long non-coding RNA, 985 nt
Organism: Brachypodium distachyon (stiff brome)
Lineage: Eukaryota; Viridiplantae; Streptophyta; Magnoliopsida; Poales; Poaceae
Exons: 2
Source: RefSeq, a predicted model, not a curated record
UCCUUCGUCUCCCCCCGAUUCGGCCGAGCACCCCGAGCCGCCGCCGCCCGCCGCCUCCUCUGCUCGCGCCGGCGAGGACUCGUGCCGGGCAACGAGCGACAGCACUUCCUUCAUCGGGUGCCCACGGCGCGCCAUUCAACCAACCAUCUCGGCCCAACCCAUUGAGACUUCACCAUCAUCGUCUUCCGCGGGAGAAGCUACCCUGCCUGCAGCGGGGAAAGACGAAGAUAAAUCUUCAGACGCAGAAUGGCAGAUCACUGCACAAUUUCUGCUGCCACUGUAGCUGCAUCCGAGCAGGGGUCGUAUGUGCUCAAGAUUGACGGCUACUCCAGAGCCAAGGAGCUAUUCGAGACCCGAGAGUACGUGGCUUCCGCGCCUUUCAGUUUCGGAGGCCACACUUGGGUUAUGGAAUACUACCCAAACGGCUUUGCAGAUGCAGAAUACAUCAGUGUUGCCCUGGUUCUGGAUUCUGCUGAUGCCCAUGACGUGAAGGUGAGCAUGGAGUUUAGUCUGCUUGACAAGGACGGAGCACAUGCAACUACCGGCACACGGCUUUACCACCCCUGUGUAUACCUACUCAAGCAAAUGUUGUUCUCAUGACUGGUACGAAGAUUUCAUCAGGAAGGCAGAUUUAGAGGGAUCGGUUUAUUUAUGUGGCGAUAGUUUCAGCAUGAGGUGUGAUAUCGCCAUGGAAAAGAAGGACAUCCACAAAGGUAAACAGUUUAUGGUGGUUCCUCCAAGCAACUUGCAUCGGCAUCUCGACGACCUCCUCAAGAGCAUGGACGGAGCAGACGUGGUCUUUCAUGUCGGCGGGGAGAGGUUGUCGGCAUUGUUCAAGAAUCGGCCGAGUAGCCGAUUAAAUGGCCAGUUAAUCGCUACUCGGCAAGUGCAUUAGCUGGUAAGGCCGAUUAAAUGGCAGUUAAUCGGUUGUCAGACCGAUCAAUCGCUGUCAGGCUGAUUAAAUGCCUAUAUUUUUUGGUAUAAA